UUCCUGACCUGCAUACAGAUUUUUCAGGAGGCAGGUCAGGUGGUCUGGUAUUCCCAUCUCUUUCAGAAUUUUCCACAGUUUAUUGUGAUCCACACAGUCAAAGGCUUUGGCAUAGUCAAUAAGCCUUUUAAAAUGUAGAUUUCUCUCUCACUUUUUUUUGCCAAGCCAAGCAGUAUGUGAGAUCUUAGUUCCCUGACCAGGGGUUGAACCUGCGCCCCCUGUAGUGCAAGUCUGGAGUCCUAAGUACUAGACCGUCAGGGAAGGCUCUAAAUUUUCUUAUCAUACACUAUAUUAAUUAAAAAAAAUUCUGAACAUGUAGCCCCCAUAUAUGUAUAUAAAUUUAUUUGCAAAUAAUAGACUAGCAGUGCGACUUCCCUUUCACUUCUCACUUUCAUGCAUUGGAGAAGGAAAUGGCAACCCACUCCAGUGUUCUUGCCUGGGGAAUCCCAGGGAUGGCGGAGCCUGGUGGGCUGCCAUCUACGGGGUCGCACAGAGUCGGACAUGACUGAAGCGACUUAGCAGCAGCAGCAGCAGCAGUAAUACAUUAGCAUAAAACAAAAGUAGAAAAUGUUCAAAGUCUAAAAAAUAAUUUUAUUUAGUGACUGCAAACUAUUUAAUAGUUCUAUUCUCCCUAACAUUUUUUUAAAGAGAGUGAAGUGGUCAGAUAGGUUUAUUUUUGUGACUCUUGGCUGAAAACUUUGUGACAUAACAAUUUGAAGUGUCCUAAGGUUCAGUUUAUUUUGAAACUUGGCUUUAAGGGCUGUCAUCACUUAAAAUAUCUCAGGAGAUAAGUAAACUAGGAAGAAUCCCAUGUCUUAGCAAGUCAAACUGCUCAUUUCAGAUGUAUCCACAAGUUAUGCAAAGGUUUUAACUGAAAUCUGGCUAAAUUUCCAGCUUCUCUGAAGUCUAUCAAUCUUCCUUUUAAAAGCCAAUUAUAUAAUGUCAAGGAAUAAUUCAGAAAUAUUAGCCAGUUGUUUCACGUGCACUUCAUUUACUUGUGCAUAAGAAGAAAGGUCAAUUGACUGUCGUCAUGGAACACAAUUAAAAACAGGAUGUGUAAAAGAGAGGAGAGAGGGAAAACCCUGCUGGCAGCUGGGAAUAGUGAAUCUUACAGGCACAUUUUGGGGUAAACAGAUCAGUUGGAGACUGACAAGGAGAUCAGUCUGUGUGUUGUGAGCAGGCCGACUAGCAGUAUCAAAGAAAACAAUUAAAAUAUGGAUCCAAAAACUCUUCAUUUAGGAGAUUUUUUUUAAAGACGGGAGAAAUUUCAGUUUGUAAGUUCUGUGCUGGUAUUAGUUUUUUUUAAUGUCAUUUUCAGCAACAAAAUCACAAACAUUGGAAAGAUUUGCAAACCUCUGUUUUCAAAAAUGCUCUCUCCAUGAGAUUCAGUUCUUUUGAAAACCAAUGACUUUCUCACUCAUUGUUAAAACAUCACUGUUAUCUUGAAGGAAGAGGUUAAGUCUGUUUAUUUUUGUGAAACUCUCCUACAGCACCCUCAUGACAGCUACUAGUCAUCAUGGAAAAGAUGAGGAAAUGUGAAAUAUUUUUUGCCAAAAAACGAUUGUCAAAAUUGAUUUUUAAGUAUUUUGCCACAAUAAAUUCUGUGAUCUCUGUGUGGUACAUGAGAUUUUCAAGGUCACACCUCACCUUAUCACAACACUCUGAAAAGCCUCUCCUAAAGGCCUUGUCACCAAAUUUUACCAUGUGAUGGCAUCAAGUGGCCCGCCCGAGCCACCAUAUGCCACGGUAGACUGCACAAUGGUCCACGGACACCCAAUGACCCUCCUCUGUGGACCAUUAGUCUUUACCUCCACCCAGAUGCUAAGCUUGCCAAAAUGUAUCAUUUUGGCCAAAAAAAGUGAGUGGCGGGGAUGUUUGUGACUUCUGAGCAGGUGCUUCAGGAGCUAGUUGAUGGUCCACCAAUCUGUUUCUCUGCCACUCCCACUGGCAGAGCUCGGGUCCAGGUUGCUUCAUCAGCCUGGGUCCUCGAGCAAAAACUACCUGGCCUAGAGAAAGCAUGUCCCAAAUGUCACACGGGACGCCUCUACUAAAUAUUUGGGCAUUCUCACCCCAUUUUUUUUUUCACUGUUUAUCUGAAAUUUGUUUUAUCUGGCAUCCUUGGUUGUAAGUCACUGAUGUUUGGGGAUUGUUUGGUUUGGCUGCAAACCCAAUUUUACUGGACUGGUACAGCAGCUGACCACAGCCCAAGGAAGGCCAACUGUGUCAACUUGUAUAUUAAAUAUAUUAAUAGUAAGGCUUUGUUGUUGUUAUCCAGUUGCUAGGUUGUGUUCAACUCUUUUGUGACCCCAUAGACCAUAGCCUGCCAGGCUCCUCUGUCCAUGGGAUUUCCCAGGGGGGGUUUCAUUUCCUUCUCCAGGAGAUCUUCCCCAGCCAGGGAUCAAACCUUCAUCUCCUGAAUUGGCAAGUGGAUUCUUUACCACUGAGCCACCAGGGAAGCCCAUAAUAGUAAGGUUUGUGAGUAAGUGAUAGUCACUAUCAUGUCUGACUCUUUGUGACCCCAUAGACUGUAGCCUGCCAGGCUCAUCUGUCCUCUGAAUUGUUUGCCCUUACUCUUCAGAUUAAAAAACACAAACAAACAAAACAGAAGCCAUAGUUUUUCCUGUACCCCAGGGAAUUAUUUUAGGAGAUUGCUGUUCUAAGGUGUGGUCUGCGGGGCAAGGUGGUCAGAUGCUAGAAACUCACUAAAAACACAGAUUGCUCAGCACUGCCCCAGUGAUACCAUCUUAGAAUCUGGAGACGGUAGAGGAUCUGCUCACUUAAGUUCCUCAGGUGAUUCUAAAGCAAAUUAACAUUCCACUGGCUGGUGUUUGCAAUUUAACGUUUUUAGAGGCUAACAGUACUAGUACUCAGAGACCUGGUCCUGCCUUUGCUAUUUACACUAGAUUUGCAUGAUGUUCAGUGGGUCAAUUCUAUUCUCCUUUCUGGAUGGCACUGCUCUCAUCUAAAGAGGAAUGAGACUGACUCAGACAUCUCACAUCCUCUUCCAGCUCAAAGUCCAGGAGUGGAAGUCAGAAAAUCAGGGCCUUCCAAGGUCCAGGAGGCAACGGACAACGUGAGGCUGCGGAGGUGUAAGACACUAGGUCACGGAGGGGCCCUUGGCAAACAGAAGGACCCAAGCCCGUCUCAGAGCUCCCUGGAAUUUUCCUGUGUAGGCACAGCUGUUUGGGAAUCCCUAGGGCCAUAGGCACACCUGCCUCACAUAUAACUGUAAAAACUUGGUGAAAGACUUCUAAUUUUGCUUUGGUAAAUACUGUGUCCCACAAGUAACUAAAUGAGUUUAUGAUUGACUGACAUGUCUCUGAAAUCAUCAUAUGGGCCGGGAGGAUUUUUAUAAGCAGAGAAAAUCUAAUGCACCAAUUAUUCUAGAAUGGAACAAACUGUGUGAAUACUAACUUUAGUAAUUACGGACAUUGACACUGCAAUAUAUUGGAGACACACAUUCAUUAACAUUUUUAGCUUUUUUCUGUGAUAUUAUAUAUAUCUUGGAGCCAACAAGGUUUUUAUGUCUGAAACAUUUCGAUAAGUAUUUUAAAAGCCUGUUGGCACCAGUCAUUUGAUCUGCAUUAGCUUAAGGGCUAAAACACUUUCAUGGGCUGAUGCUGCUCUGGUACUUAUAAAACAGAUGCUCAGACAGGACAUUAUCGAGGAGCUCAGUCAGCAAGGGAGGCAGAUACAAAUAAGUAAUUUUUCUAUAGGCUUCCCUAGUGGUUCAGUGGUAUAGAAUCUGUCUGCCCUGGGUUGGGAAGAUCCCCUGGAGGAGAAAAUGGCAACCCACCCCAGUAUUCUUGCCUGGAGAAUUCCAUGGACAGAGGAGCCUGGUGGGCUACAGUCCAUGGGGUUGCAAAGAGUUGGACGCGACCUAGUGACUAAAGAAACGCCAAAAAUAACAAUUUUUCUGUAAAGGGGAAAGUGCCAGAUAAAGCUGCAUACAAGUUUCAGGAACAAACCCCAUAAGAUAAGGAGAGGGAGCGAGGUGUCAGGAGAGACUUAUUAGGGAUGACACAUGCGACGGAGAGUCUUUAGGAAUAAAUUAGCCAGGUGAGGAAGGGAAAGGUAUUCCAGGCAAAGGAGAAUCACCAGCAGUCACAGAUUUAUGGGACAACUCGCUGAAGCAGCAACGUCUCUUGAGUGGUGAUGGCAUCAGGCACUGGGGAGGCAGGGAAACAGGUGAGAGUGCUGACUGGUUACAAGGCCCAGGAUGCAGCUCCUGCAGGGCAGAGCGGGCCACAGAGGAUGAAGCCAAGGUCCAGGAUGCAGCUCCUGCAGGGCAGAGCGGGCCACAGAGGAUGAAGCCAAGGUCCAGGAUGCAGCUCCUGCAGGGCAGAGCAGGCCACAGAGGAUGAAGCACACUUGGAGGAGGUGGCCGCUGGGGGCAGGGAAGGAGGGGAAGGCAUGCAAUAUAUGUGAGCCUU
Bos taurus (domestic cattle) is the source of this 4433-nucleotide long non-coding RNA. Lineage: Eukaryota; Metazoa; Chordata; Mammalia; Artiodactyla; Bovidae. The record is from Ensembl.